This 663-nucleotide ribosomal RNA is filed under the name Bifidobacterium pseudolongum subsp. pseudolongum. Its description in RNAcentral is "bacterial SSU rRNA". It matches the Rfam family "Bacterial small subunit ribosomal RNA", at positions 63 to 728 of the family's 1533-position model. The record is from RNAcentral. Lineage: Bacteria; Bacillati; Actinomycetota; Actinomycetes; Bifidobacteriales; Bifidobacteriaceae.
CGGGAUCCCUGGCAGCUUGCUGCCGGGGUGAGAGUGGCGAACGGGUGAGUAAUGCGUGACCGACCUGCCCCAUGCACCGGAAUAGCUCCUGGAAACGGGUGGUAAUGCCGGAUGUUCCACAUGAGCGCAUGCGAGUGUGGGAAAGGCUUUUGCGGCAUGGGAUGGGGUCGCGUCCUAUCAGCUUGUUGGUGGGGUAACGGCCUACCAAGGCGUUGACGGGUAGCCGGCCUGAGAGGGCGACCGGCCACAUUGGGACUGAGAUACGGCCCAGACUCCUACGGGAGGCAGCAGUGGGGAAUAUUGCACAAUGGGCGCAAGCCUGAUGCAGCGACGCCGCGUGCGGGAUGGAGGCCUUCGGGUUGUAAACCGCUUUUGUUCAAGGGCAAGGCAGGUUUUUGGCCUGUUGAGUGGAUUGUUCGAAUAAGCACCGGCUAACUACGUGCCAGCAGCCGCGGUAAUACGUAGGGUGCAAGCGUUAUCCGGAUUUAUUGGGCGUAAAGGGCUCGUAGGCGGUUCGUCGCGUCCGGUGUGAAAGUCCAUCGCUUAACGGUGGAUCCGCGCCGGGUACGGGCGGGCUUGAGUGCGGUAGGGGAGACUGGAAUUCCCGGUGUAACGGUGGAAUGUGUAGAUAUCGGGAAGAACACCAAUGGCGAAGGCAGGUCU